RNAcentral lists this ribosomal RNA (253 nucleotides) under uncultured bacterium. Its description in RNAcentral is "partial 16S ribosomal RNA". It matches the Rfam family "Bacterial small subunit ribosomal RNA", at positions 524 to 776 of the family's 1533-position model. The record is from RNAcentral.
UACGGAAGGGGCUAGCGUUGUUCGGAAUUACUGGGCGUAAAGCGCACGUAGGCGGAUUAGUAAGUCAGGGGUGAAAUCCCGGGGCUCAACCUCGGAACUGCCUUUGAUACUGCUGAUCUCGAGUCCGGAAGAGGUGAGUGGAAUUCCUAGUGUAGAGGUGAAAUUCGUAGAUAUUAGGAAGAACACCGGUGGCGAAGGCGGCGCACUGGUCCGGUACUGACGCUGAGGCGCGAAAGCGUGGGGAGCAAACAGG